This is a long non-coding RNA of Mus musculus (house mouse), 3359 nucleotides long. RefSeq annotates it as predicted gene, 51452. The transcript is spliced from 2 exons. The record is from RefSeq and is a predicted model, not a curated record. Lineage: Eukaryota; Metazoa; Chordata; Mammalia; Rodentia; Muridae.
GGGUGCGCAGGCGCAGGCCUAGGAGCCGCAAGUCAAGCACCGGGUGGCAGAGCAACUGGCCCGGGCCGUGGAAAGUGGCCAGGCCGCCGCGGCCGGUGGCGCGCACCUCGGCGCCCAAGGCCCUCAGCCGCGUAGUCUCCUCGGGUGUCAGGCCACCGCGUAGCCCGCCCGUGUAUACGGGCCCCGCUGGCUCGCAGACCAAGAGCACACCCGCUUUGGUCCCCGACAGGGUCCCAGGGCGAGGGUCUGCCUGUAGCCGCCGUAGCCAAUGCUCCUGCAACGCCAGCAGCUCCGAGUAGUGCACCCGACCAAGCCAAACGAGCCGGACCACAGGCAGCGACAUCGCGCGGGAGGCGGCGUGCGUGGGCCACGCCUUCUGGCGGGUCUCGGGGCGGGGACUCUGGGCCACGCCCCUGAGCUUCAGCCCGAGUGGAGCUUCAGUUCCCGCCUACCUGUGUGACCCGAAGUCCAGGCAGGAUUGGUCUUAACCACCCAUUCAUUCCAAUAAUCAUUUUUUAGUAUGUUCUGUGUUCUGCAGGAACUUGGACCGUGCAGUGUAGAGUAUUUGAGAAACGAAGAUCCAACCCUGGAAGCUUAGGUGUUCACAGCUGACAAGCUAAUAUUAAAGUUUUUUUUUUUGACAAUAUUCAGAAAUUGUCUUUCUGUUUCACCAUGUAAAUUCUUUUUUUUAAUUUAAUUAAUUUAUUUAUUACGUAUUUUCCUCAAUGAUGGAAAGAAAAACAGAAUUCAGUAAUAUGUUGAGUUCCUCGAAAACUGAAAGGGAGACUAGUGUGCAAAGAGGUUUAUUGUGGAUCGGUGUGGGACGUAGCAGGUACUUCAAGAUAUAUAAGACUUGAAAGAAACAGGAUUAGGCAGAAGCUGUAGUUGAGCAGAGAAAUAGUUGCAUUAGAUUCUUUCCUUAGCUAUCCCCCAGGAAUGCUCCGAGUCUGGCCUGACCCAUUAGAAUUAUUCUAGAUUAAAGCAAAUGGGACAUCCUACAUAGAUGGGUCACAAAAACAAGCUACUCCUGGGAAGGCACCGUUACCUUUGUAGGAGUUGCUUCCAUUAUGAAGCCCUGAUCUCUGAAGGGAGCUCCAGCUUGAGUCAUCAUACAACCCAGUCCCAGAAGCCGAGGGAAGGACAGGGGACGGGAAGCCAGAAUAUCAAGAUUAAUUGUGAUUAAUUGGCCCAGAAACCCUUCCUGACCUGAGCUUUAUACAACAGAGAAUGUGCCAGAAAAGUCCCCAGAACUACAAUUUGGAGAGAUAUCGGCCUAAAGCCUGAGCCUACAUCGUUGCACUGUGGACUUUCUCACUCUCUGAACCCCUCCACCUCUGCCAUGCAGGUUCUCCCCUCCCUCCUCCAUCACAGAAGAUCCUCCUGCCUCUGCCUCCUACGUGCUGGGAUGGACUUUGACUGUUAAUAGCUCCAGUAACACUGAGUGUGGGUGGGCCAGGAAGCAGAAAGAGGAAGAACAGAAUACCAACCAGAGUGAGGCUCAAUGCCAAGAAUUAAUAAGGCGGACAGACUGGCAUGGGCAAACAUAUAUAAUAGCAGGUUUCAGAGCGGAUGACAAAAGUUAUUGUGAGUCAUCAACAUGGGGAUGUGGUUUAAAAAAUAAACAUUGAGAUAGCUCCAGGCUCUGGGAGAAGAAGAGACAUUGGGAAACCCUGUUCCAGAGCACCUAAAUCUUAUUAAUAAUUCCGUGUAGGGUGGGGAAAGUAACUGCAGCGAUUUGGUUCCUGCACAAGAUGAACUCAGUGUUCCUGCUGAAUACUUGUCCUGGUGUGAAGCAGAAUAAGGAGGAAAGCCAGGGAUCUGGGUACAUCUUCUGUUCCGUCACUGUGUGUUUGCACUCCUAUGGGGUAGGUGAUACACAGUUUGAUUCUUGGGUCCUCAUCUCCUCUAACUAGUGUCUGACACCUAUAGGGCCUUAGUAGAUAUUUGCAGAAUGAAAGAACAACCGUUUAAAUCAUUUGUUGUGGGUGUCAUUGAACUGAGACCCUUCACCAAGGCCAUGUGGCAGCCUCCAAGCCCCUAAAAUGAUCCCAAAUUUUCAGGACCUAAGGAGGUCAUUGUUGUAAAAGGUGUUUACUCGUAGCAUGCUGAAUCCAAUCUACACCCGCCAGGCUCAGCCUAGAGUCUCCCUCCCCACCCUGCCCCCCUCUUAUUUCCCUCAACACUACAUCUGAACCUCUGCUGACUCUAAUCUACCUCGGUUAUCCUGGAUUAGACUCAUUACCUGCCCCUUGCCAGUCCCAUGGCUCUAGAGCACAGAUAAUAGUUACCACUUAGAUAAUAUUUGUCAUGUGUUAGACACUCUAAAAAAUUUAAAAUCAUCAAUGCAUCUACUGUCUGUCAUGAGAAUGCUAUGUUAGAAAUAUAGUUGGAUACAUUUACUCUUUCUUUUUUAUUGGGUAUUUAUUUCAUUUAUAUUUCCAAUGCUAUCCCAAAAGCCCCCCACACGCUCCCCCACCCACUCCCCUACCCACCCCACUCCCACUUCUUGGCCCUGGCGUUCCCCUGUACUGAGGCAUAUAAAGUUUGCACGACCAAUGGGCCUCUCUUUCCACUGAUGGCUGACUAGGCCAUCUUCUGAUUCAUAUGCAGCUAGAGACACGAGCUGGGGGGGAGGGGGUAAUUGGCUAGUUCAUAUUGUUGUUCCACCUAUAGGAUUGCAGAUCCCUUCAGCUCCUUGGGUACUUUCUCUAGCUCCUCCUUUGGGGGCCCUGUGAUCCAUCCAAUAGCUGACUGUGAGCAUCCACUUCUGUGUUUGCCAGGCCCCGGCAUAGUCUCACAAGAGACAGCCAUAUAUGGGUCCUUUCAGCAAAAUCUUGCUAGUGUAUGCAAUGGUGUCAGCGUUUGGAAGCUGAUUAUAGGAUGGAUCCCCGGAUAUGGCAGUCUCUAGAUGGUCAAUCCUUUCGUCUCAGCUCCAAACUUUGUCUCUGUAACUCCUUCCAUGGGUGUAUUGUUCCCAAUUCUAAGAAGGGGCAAAGUGUCCACACUUUGGUCUUCAUUCUUCUUGAGUUUCAUGCGUUUAGCAAAUUUUAUCUUAUAUCUUGGGUAUUCUAAAUUUCUGGACUAAUAUCCACUUAUCAGUGAGUACAUAUUGUGGGAGUUCUUUUAUGAUUGGGUUACCUCACUCAGGAUGAUACCCUCCAGGUCCAUCCAUUUGCCUAGGAAUUUCAUAAAUUCAUUCUUUUUAAUAGCUGAGUAGUACUCCAUUGUGUAAAUGUACCACAUUUUCUGUAUCCAUUCCUCUGUUGAGGGGCAUCUGGGUUCUUUCCAGCUUCUGGCUAUUACAUUUACUCUUUCUACAUGUGAGAAUUUAUUUAAUAACAAUAAAUUCAUAAGCUACA